AUCUUUUUAGUAUAAAUAAGUAUGUAUGGCUUCCAACCAAAAGGACUAGGACUACCCCUAGAAAAGAUA
RNAcentral lists this transfer RNA (69 nucleotides) under Hemisquilla californiensis. Its description in RNAcentral is "tRNA-Gly". The record is from RNAcentral. Lineage: Eukaryota; Metazoa; Arthropoda; Malacostraca; Stomatopoda; Hemisquillidae.